GGAGUUUGGUCCGUGUCUCAGUACCAAUGUGGGGGACCUUCCUCUCAGAACCCCUACUGAUCGAUGGCUUGGUGGGCCGUUACCCCGCCAACAACCUAAUCAGACGCAUCCCCAUCCUAUACCGAUCAAUCUUUGCUUCACGUCAGAUGCCAUCUAUGAAGAACAUAGAGCAUUAAUUCGACUUUCGCCGGGCUAUUCUCUACUAUAGGGAAGGUUGGAUACGCGUUACUCACCCGUGCGCCGGUCGCCAUCAAUCUUAGCAAGCUAAGAUCAUGAUGCCCCUCGACUUGCAUGUGUUAAGCCUGUAGCUAGCGUUCAUC
This 320-nucleotide ribosomal RNA is filed under the name uncultured Prevotella sp. Its description in RNAcentral is "partial 16S ribosomal RNA". Lineage: Bacteria; Pseudomonadati; Bacteroidota; Bacteroidia; Bacteroidales; Prevotellaceae. The record is from RNAcentral.